AAAAAUCACUAACAAAGUGAUCCUACUGACAACGCACUUGGGGUACUUCUUUUUUCCUCGCAUCAAUCAUGUCUAACCAAUCAGGCGUGCCCCACGACCGCACUCAAUUAUCCAGCACAUAUCGGAUACCAAUUAUUGCCGUGACUUUUCGUACAGAUCUAGUCUAGCGAGCUGCUUUACCUUGCUGCUCCACUAAGACCAGGCCAUUGAAAGGAUCUUCGAGUCGACCAAAUGUCAAAGCGACGCCAAACUCUACGCCGGGAAGAUGAGUCUUCACUGCCCUCAGCAUCGGUAAAAAGCGUGCUUAAAAAAACCGCGGGUAGGAACAGAAGGGCGCCACCGAACAGGGUUCGUUUCGCAACUGUACCUGUACCACUGGCAAAGAGUCAUGAAGAAAUUGAAAGGUUUGAAAUUUUGCGCCGAGCAGAACAAAGGUUGCCAAACAGGGAUCAUCCACACUCCUCCAGCGAUUCGAGUGGAACUUGCAGUUUCUAAAGGGCAUUACUUCUAAGAACAAAAGCUGAAAUCGAUUCCUCGCAAAACUCAGCACACCCGAACAGUUAACAGCGGCACACUGAUGAAUACCUUAUGACUUGUCAGUGAUGGACAUGCCGAUAAAUUCUGCCAUAGAAUAAAGGGCACAGAAUUACGCAAUGCGGUAUCCAGGGAAGACAUGAUAAAACUACGACUAAUCGAAUUAA
Long non-coding RNA from Varroa destructor (honeybee mite), 701 nucleotides. RefSeq lists it as uncharacterized. Lineage: Eukaryota; Metazoa; Arthropoda; Arachnida; Mesostigmata; Varroidae. The record is from RefSeq and is a predicted model, not a curated record.